This is a long non-coding RNA of Prinia subflava (tawny-flanked prinia), 335 nucleotides long. RefSeq lists it as uncharacterized. The record is from RefSeq and is a predicted model, not a curated record. The transcript is spliced from 3 exons. Lineage: Eukaryota; Metazoa; Chordata; Aves; Passeriformes; Cisticolidae.
CACAAACCUCAAACCAGACGGACUGCACAGGAACCACUUUUAGUCAGUGCUUUCCCACCCAUGGCCCUGGUCCCAGGCUGCAGGGCUGGUCAGCUGUCACCAUUGGCUGAGGCCUUUGCCAGGGAACACAUAAAUCCAGGAUGAAAUACACUCAGAGACAGCAAAUCAGAUCAAUAUGUACUCAUUAAUUGAGCUGCAGUGAGCACUGGUCCCCAGGAGCUCCAGCAUAGCAGGAGUGGGAGCUGCUCCUUGGCAGAAUCCUUCAGGCACAGGUUUGUCAGCUGCCAGGUGUGUGUGUGCUAUCUCCAAUGGGAAGGACCUCUCUGAAAAGCUUC